CAGAUAGGGCUGGCUGCAGACAGGAAGUGAGUCAGUAAGUUCCAUGAUGCCUCAGUAGAGAGAAUAGUUGUGAGGUGUCUGUUAAAAAAGUGAUUCCUGGUAUUGUCCACCUAUGUCUUCCCCAGUGAGCUGUACAAUAUCUGGUGCAGAGGUGGACAAAUGUUUGAAGUUGGCCUUGGGACUAAAAGCAGAAAAUCUGAAGAAUUGGUGAAAGAGAUCCACUCCCUAGAGAGAAGCAGGGGGCAGAGCUAGGUAAGUCCUCUUCCUCUAUUGCUGCUGUCAGUAUCCUGUGGGCAGAAGAAUAAAGGAGCAGAAAAGAUAAUGAAAGCCUUAUUGAUGACAGCUGGGAGCCAUGGAGAGAGAUUUCUGGUGCCUUUCCCAGCCACAGUUAGCAAAUAUGCCCCUCUGAAGCUGAAACACUAAACAAUAUGUCUGAGGUGGAUACAGUUUUCUAGUUGCUCAGGUCAAUAACUUCCUUUUCUUCCUGGAAAAGACAUGGGCUAUGACAUCCAUAGAUUCUUCUUGAUAAAAAGGAAACAGCUGUGGUUCACCCCAGGGGAAGAGUGGCUUCUUUAAGCACUUGAAAGCCCAGGCCCAUUCAGCUGGAGCCACGUGGGAAUUUCCUGUUGCCUUCCAGUCUGAAUUCGUCAUCAGAAAGAUAUGUCAGGAGUAAACAGAACCAUUGGCCAGUUGCUCAGAUGUUCCAGAAAAAGCCCCCAUGAGCAACUCAUUAAGGAGAUGGUCCUUGAAUUUUCAGGAAAAUAACCUGUAAGAAGACCAAGGAGAAGAAGCCUGAACCUAGGGGCAAGAGCAUUGGCCUGAGAGUCAGGACAUCUGGGUUCUGAUGCUGGGUCCAACACUUGCCUGC
Ornithorhynchus anatinus (platypus) is the source of this 868-nucleotide long non-coding RNA. RefSeq lists it as uncharacterized. The transcript is spliced from 3 exons. The record is from RefSeq and is a predicted model, not a curated record. NCBI's taxonomy places the organism in Eukaryota, Metazoa, Chordata, Mammalia, Monotremata, Ornithorhynchidae.